AGUGAACGCUGGCGGUAGGCCUAACACAUGCAAGUCGAACGGCAGCACAGUAAGAGCUUGCUCUUACGGGUGGCGAGUGGCGGACGGUUGAGGAAUACAUCGGAAUCUACUUUUUCGUGGGGGAUAACGUAGGGAAACUUACGCUAAUACCGCAUACGACCUACGGGUGAAAGCAGGGGAUCUUCGGACCUUGCGUGAUUGAAUGAGCCGAUGUCGGAUUAGCUAGUUGGCGGGGUAAAGGCCCACCAAGGCGACGAUCCGUAGCUGGUCUGAGAGGAUGAUCAGCCACACUGGAACUGAGACACGGUCCAGACUCCUACGGGAGGCAGCAGUGGGGAAUAUUGGACAAUGGGCGCAAGCCUGAUCCAGCCAUACCGCGUGGGUGAAGAAGGCCUUCGGGUUGUAAAGCCCUUUUGUUGGGAAAGAAAAGCAGCAGGUUAAUACCCCGCUGUUCUGACGGUACCCAAAGAAUAAGCACCGGCUAACUUCGUG
This 492-nucleotide ribosomal RNA is filed under the name uncultured bacterium. Its description in RNAcentral is "partial 16S ribosomal RNA". It matches the Rfam family "Bacterial small subunit ribosomal RNA", at positions 29 to 507 of the family's 1533-position model. The record is from RNAcentral.